GACCACUUCUUUUUGAAGUCAAGGCCAUACGGACAGCCGGGUCCACUGCCGA
Molecule: small RNA, 52 nt
Filed under: human gut metagenome
Description: Streptococcus sRNA SpF59 (ldcC RNA)
Rfam family: Streptococcus sRNA SpF59 (ldcC RNA)
Source: RNAcentral